UGGGGGAUAUUGCACAAUGGGCGAAAGCCUGAUGCAGCGACGCCGCGUGGGGGAUGAAGGCUUUCGGGUUGUAAACCUCUUUCGCUAUCGAACAAGGCCCGCUUAGGGUGGGUUGAGGGUAGGUGGAGAAGAAGCGCCGGCUAACUACGUGCCAGCAGCCGCGGUAAUACGUAGGGCGCGAGCGUUGUCCGGCAUUAUUGGGCGUAAAGGGCUUGUAGGCGGCUUGUUGCGCCUGCUGUGAAAACGCGGGGCUUAACUUCGCGCGUGCAGUGGGUACGGGCAGGCUUGAGUGUGGUAGGGGUGACUGGAAUGCCAGGUGUAGCGGUGGAAUGCGCAGAUAUCUGGAGGAACACCGAUGGCGAAGGCAGGUCACUGGGCCAUUACUGACGCUGAGGAGCGAAAGCAUGGGUAGCGAACAGG
This 420-nucleotide ribosomal RNA is filed under the name bacterium. RNAcentral's name for it is "partial 16S ribosomal RNA". It matches the Rfam family "Bacterial small subunit ribosomal RNA", at positions 355 to 776 of the family's 1533-position model. The record is from RNAcentral.